GCAUGGGUGGUUCAGCGGUAGAAUUCUCACCUGUCAUGAGGGAGGCCCAGGUUCAUUUCCUGGCCCAUGCA
RNAcentral lists this transfer RNA (71 nucleotides) under Bos taurus (domestic cattle). Its description in RNAcentral is "tRNA-Asp (GTC) (tRNA-Asp-GTC-15-1)". It matches the Rfam family "tRNA". Rfam says of the family: Transfer RNA (tRNA) molecules are approximately 80 nucleotides in length. Their secondary structure includes four short double-helical elements and three loops (D, anti-codon, and T loops). Lineage: Eukaryota; Metazoa; Chordata; Mammalia; Artiodactyla; Bovidae. The record is from Rfam by way of RNAcentral. RNAcentral also lists the same sequence under 4 other names.